This 256-nucleotide ribosomal RNA is filed under the name uncultured bacterium. RNAcentral describes it as "partial 16S ribosomal RNA". It matches the Rfam family "Bacterial small subunit ribosomal RNA", at positions 524 to 776 of the family's 1533-position model. The record is from RNAcentral.
UACGUAGGGGGGCGAGCGUUGUCCGGAUUUAUUGGGCGUAAAAGGCUUGUAGGUGGCCAUGCGAAGUCGGGUGUGAAACCUCCAGGCUCAACCUGGAGACGCCACCCGAUACUGCUGUGGCUAGAGUCCGGUAGGGGAGCGUGGAAUUCCUGGUGUAGCGGUGAAAUGCGCAGAUAUCAGGAGGAACACCAGCGGCGAAGGCGGCGCUCUGGGCCGGUACUGACGCUGAGGAGCGAAAGCGUGGGGAGCAAACAGG